GUGAUAGUUUAUGUGACACACGUGAGGUCACGUGUCACGUGUGAGAUUGAUAUAAUAGCCGGCGCGUGUCACGUACAUUAGAGCUACAAAAAUGCGACGACAACACGAAUCAAAUCGCCAACUUUUCUUAAUCACGUCAAUUUUGCAACGUUGAUAUUGUGCAACAGCAUCUGUCAACACUGUCGGAACAGAGGUUUCAGAAUAAUCCACACACCGACCUGGUGAUUUACAGGUAUAAUCAUGGGUAAAGAAGAUAAAAUCAAAUUUUAAUCAAUUAUUUCAAAGACUUCCUUUGCUAUUUUCCAGCUCAUUUCACGUAGUGUCCGAGUGUGAUGGAGAACUAUAUAUUUCCUACCGGGACCGUCCCCCUUCAAUUAAAUAUCUUCCUGAAUCACUGUGUUGGUCGUUCAAAGGCGUGAUAGGCUGUGGUGCUGAGAGGCCCCCGCCCAUCGCUUUCACAGAUGUGUCGAGUGAACGCCCCGUCGGCCAAUGAGAAUUGUUCGUUCCAGUUAGUUGGUAAUUAUAAAAGUGUUCGGCAUGAGCUCUCCUGCACUGCAGUCACGCGGGUAAACAUUGUGUCUGCUGCACGAGGCUAGCUGUCACAGAGAGUAUGGAUCCAAGUCCAUCGCACAUGGAACCAAGUCUCAGCCCAGACGUAACGGCACCCACCUGUCUGAAUGGGGACUCCGAGGAUUCUAUCCUCACCCCCGGGGACCCGACAGUAGGGGGUGGGGACGUCCACAACACAGUGACGGCAACUGACAACACCACCACCAACAACAGAUCCACAGAUGUAAAAUCGCCAUCUUCAACAUCUAACUCGGAAUUACUAGCCGGCAAAAAUUUGACUUUUUCUCCUGAACAGGUUGCGUGUGUUUGUGAGGCAUUACAGCAGAAAGGAGACAUAGAAAGACUAGCUCGAUUCCUCUGGUCUCUUCCUCCGAGUGAAUUAUUACGAGGGAGUGAAGCCGUGCUUAAGGCAAGAGCAACGGUCGCCUUUCAUAGGGGUAGUUACAGGGAACUCUAUGCUAUCUUAGAGAGUCACAGUUUUGAAAGCUCUAAUCAUGCGUUUUUGCAGCAGUUGUGGUAUAAAGCGCAUUACAUGGAGGCUCAGAAGAUACGCGGAAGACCUCUCGGGGCUGUCGAUAAGUAUAGGCUAAGGAGGAAGUUCCCUCUUCCUAAAACAAUCUGGGAUGGCGAAGAGACAGUAUAUUGCUUCAAGGAGAAAUCUCGACAAGCUCUGAAAGAGUGUUACAAACAGAACAGAUACCCAACCCCAGACGAGAAGCGGAAUCUGGCCAAAAAAACAGGACUGACUUUGACGCAAGUCAGCAACUGGUUCAAGAAUCGCCGGCAGCGUGACCGGACCCCUCACAGUCAGGGACACAGCGGACACAGGGACCUAGUUGAGGAAAACAUGAAGCAGGCGAUGCAUCAGAUGUGCAACAUGAACCAGCCCAUGAUGCCUCACGACUACGGCCACCGAGACUUCAAUCUGUCCAUGCCCUUGGUCAAGUCAGAGCCCAUCCCACCCCACUACCUGUGUUCACCACCCAUGGACCACCACCAUCACCACCUGCACCACUCCGUGCCCCCCGUUUGACAGUGGGCCAAUCCAGGAAUGGACUCGACCUGUUGGUAGCAGACGACAUGCUGACGAGAUGUGGUAUAACGACAAUGUUACCUGUGCUUGAGUCCAGUCCUGGAGAGGGUGUUCUUCAUCCGUUUCGGGAAAGGAUGUGCUUCGGACCAGUCCUUGAAAGGAUGUGAGCCCCAUCCUGGUGAAAGGGUACUUUGCGCCAUAAUGAGCUCGGUCUCCAGUAUUUAAUUACGUUGGUUCAUCAGCUUCAACUUUCUGACCUCUAGUUUGCUCUAGACAAAUACUGCCAUGUAGGACUGUCCAUUGCAAACAGAGGACAUCAGAUGUACGCCGUUGGUUAAAACUAAGAACUUACCAGCAUGGAGUGCGUGAAGUCUCCAAGAUGUAUCAACGAACAUUCCUGUCUUCCUCCAGUGUUGGGGGAGACGUUUGAUGGCUUUAAGGACUCAUUUCCUAACUUUUGUCCAAGUCACUAAUGUUGCUUGGAAGAAAGACGUUGACAAUGACACAUUCUGCAAGGUGAAUCUUCUGUACCGUGCUUUGUUAUCUCGUGCUAUGUUUUCUCUGAACAUUUGUUUAUUGUGUAUGUUCCCAGUAUGCUGUGAUGAAGAUGAUGAUGAUGAUGACGAUGGGAGAGUCUUAAAGAACGUGAAUGGGAGAGUGAGUGAUUUCGACACCUAAAGCCCACUGUUUCUGGUACAGUCAUAUCAGAAGUUACGAUGAGGUUAUACUGUAGGUACCAGAAUGUAAAGGAGGAAUAUUAAUUUUGAACGAACGCAGUGCCAUCAGUAGAUUGUUAGCCGUGGACGCUAUCACCACUAUCGUCCUCACGGGGUAUCACAUUGUUUAUCUGGCUACACAUGCCUAGUGCCAGUAUUAACCUUUCAAAUAUUAAAAAACACAUUUAUUAGACACUAGGUUUCAUAAUUGGUCUAGGUUUUAGCCUAAAGAAACAAAAUAAGUACAAAUUGCGACGUUGUGUUCUUUAAAAAGUCUGGAAUUAAUAUAGGUAACGGUGCUACAUCAAAGCAGUUGUUCAUUAGAACCAAGCCUAAGGCCUUCUGUGAACCUAUAUAUGAAUAAUAAACUGAAAUACAGAACAGUUUUCACUCGAAAGUAGUAACUGGAAUUCGGGUAAACAUUUCCACUGAAUGACAAAAACACUGAGUUUUGUCUGGGAUGAUCAGUAACCUAAAUAAUAAGGAAAUAUUUCCAAAUUUUACAAUACUAUGAUAUUGUAUGACAGUAUAAUACCAACUUCCAGAGGGUGUGUGUGCAUUCUUCUGGACAGAACUAAAUGUAGUGCUAGCGUACAUUGUACUGUAUAUAAUGUAAGACAAUAUAAAGAGUUUUCGCUUUGUCAUGAUGUAUACAGUGUGUCAACAAUUGUUCAAAGAUUAUUCGAGUUAAUGUUAUGGAUUUCCCAUAACAGAGUAAUUUAUAUUUUACAGCAUGCUUUAACUUAUGUCACCCUUUUUUCUAUGUCAGAUGGAUAAUUUCAUAUAAACCUUUUUGCAUUAUGUGUUUUCUUGAAUCAGAAUAAAAAGUGUUAUGUUUACUAUAGUUGAUAAGUCUCAAUUUGUAUUUUAAGUUUUGCAAAAUUGCUGUUACAACGCUUUUCAAUAGUAAAUACCACCCGCGGGUACCAUUGGUUAUUUAAAGAGUCAACAUUGAUAGGAAGCAGCUGAAACAUCGGAUCUGGAACUGUCCCACUAAGCAGCGACAGCUCUACGAGUAAUACUGUAUCUUAAGUCUGGAAGUCAAUCCUGGAAGUGGCGCUGAGAAUGUUCUGCGGAAUGGCCCUGAACACAAACCUUUACAGCCCAACCUGAAAUGAAGUGUGAAGUGCUGAUAGGACCACCGAGGUGGACACAUUCUGUGUGUCCCUGUUAUUCUCAACAUGUAUGAUUAUUUUCACUUUGUGUUAAUCCUCAUGGUAUUUUUGAUACUCCGAUGACGUCAUUGCCUAUUGCUAUUAAGUGCACAUCUCCAGGAUUAAGUCUCUGAUAAUUAUCCUCAUGCAUUUAUUUAAAUGGACUAAGUUUAUUCAUCACGCUAUGUAAUGUCCUUUGGGGCUUUUGAUCUCGGCUGCUGAAGACUCCGUCGAAAUUCAAAUAUAUCACUUAGUGCUUAGCCAUAGUGCUCUUGUCGCUUUGGUGGAACGGACCCAGAUGAUAGCGACAUGGAUACAAAGUUAACAUAUUUGCAUCAAUGCAGCAGUAGACAUGGUUGCCGUGACCUCCUUUCAAAAAGGAUUCGGAGAUAUCACCGUCGAUCUCAAAAUGUGCAUCUGAAGGCGUUUAUAUAAUGUAAACUAGGUGUCACGUUCAGAUAAUGGAUGUAUAUCUGACAGAGUUAAGUGCCCUUACCUCCGAGUGUUCAGUUGAAGGGCGCUAACAAAGUUUCAUCUAUUUUUCAAUUUUUUUAAUGUUUGUUACAUUCUUUAUUUUUCGUCUAACAUGACUAUCGAUUCUGUGUGAGUGAGCAAGACGUUCGUGGUCUUCACACGUUACCGUAUACUCGUGUUCAUUUUAUAUGUGCAAUCAUGUCCGAAAAUAAACAAAUGAUAAAACAAUA
This 4177-nucleotide unclassified non-coding RNA is filed under the name Haliotis rubra (blacklip abalone). RNAcentral's name for it is "homeobox protein SIX6-like, transcript variant X1". Lineage: Eukaryota; Metazoa; Mollusca; Gastropoda; Lepetellida; Haliotidae. The record is from RNAcentral.